GCUAGUAAUGGCAGGCCAGCAUACUGCCGUGAAUACGUUCCCGGGCCUUGUACACACCGCCCGUCACACCAUGAGAGUUGGGAAUACCCGAAGCCUGUGAGCUAACAUUAAGAGGCAGCAGUCGAAGGUAGAAUCAAUGAUUGGGGUGAAGUCGUAACAAGGUAUC
Molecule: ribosomal RNA, 166 nt
Filed under: uncultured bacterium
Lineage: Bacteria
Description: partial 16S ribosomal RNA
Rfam family: Bacterial small subunit ribosomal RNA
Source: RNAcentral